GAUGAACGCUGGCGGCGUGCCUAAUACAUACAAGUCGAGCGAACGGACGAGAAGCUUGCUUCUCUGAUGUUAGCGGCGGACGGGUGAGUAACACGUGGAUAACCUACCUAUAAGACUGGGAUAACUUCGGGAAACCGGAGCUAAUACCGGAUAAUAUUUUGAACCGCAUGGUUCAAAAGUGAAAGACGGUCUUGCUGUCACUUAUAGAUGGAUCCGCGCUGCAUUAGCUAGUUGGUAAGGUAACGGCUUACCAAGGCAACGAUGCAUAGCCGACCUGAGAGGGUGAUCGGCCACACUGGAACUGAGACACGGUCCAGACUCCUACGGGAGGCAGCAGUAGGGAAUCUUCCGCAAUGGGCGAAAGCCUGACGGAGCAACGCCGCGUGAGUGAUGAAGGUCUUCGGAUCGUAAAACUCUGUUAUUAGGGAAGAACAUAUGUGUAAGUAACUGUGCACAUCUUGACGGUACCUAAUCAGAAAGCCACGGCUAACUACGUG
RNAcentral lists this ribosomal RNA (497 nucleotides) under uncultured bacterium. RNAcentral describes it as "partial 16S ribosomal RNA". It matches the Rfam family "Bacterial small subunit ribosomal RNA", at positions 28 to 507 of the family's 1533-position model. The record is from RNAcentral.